Molecule: ribosomal RNA, 846 nt
Filed under: uncultured bacterium
Lineage: Bacteria
Description: bacterial SSU rRNA
Rfam family: Bacterial small subunit ribosomal RNA
Source: RNAcentral
GACGAACGCUGGCGGCGUGCUUAACACAUGCAAGUCACGGGGGCCCGCAAGGGCAACCGGCGAACGGGUGCGUAACACGUGAACAACCUGCCCUCGUGUGGGGGAUAGCCGGGCUAACGCCCGGGUAAUACCGCAUACGUUCCCUUGGAGGAGUCUCUGGGGGAGGAAAGCUCCGGCGCACGGGGAGGGGUUCGCGGCCUAUCAGCUAGUUGGCGGGGUAAUGGCCCACCAAGGCGACGACGGGUAGCUGGUCUGAGAGGAUGGCCAGCCACAUUGGGACUGAGAGACGGCCCAGACUCCUACGGGAGGCACCAGUGGGGAAUCUUGCGCAAUGGGCGAAAGCCUGAUGCAGCGACGCCGCGUGAGGGAUGACGGCCUUCGGGUUGUAAACCUCUUUCAGUAGGGAAGAAGCGAAAGUGACGGUAGGCGCAGAAGAAGCACCGGCUAACUACGUGCCAGCAGCCGCGGUAAUACGUAGGGUGCAAGCGUUGUCCGGAAUUAUUGGGCGUAAAGAGCUCGUAGGCGGUCUGUUGCGUCCGCUGUGAAAACUCGGGGCUUAACCCCGAGCCUGCAGUGGAUACGGGCAGACUAGAGGUAGGUAGGGGAGAAUGGAAUUCCCGGUGUAGCGGUGAAAUGCGCAGAUAUCGGGAGGAACACCGGUGGCGAAGGCGGUUCUCUGGGCCUUACCUGACGCUGAGGAGCGAAAGCGUGGGGAGCGAACAGGAUUAGAUACCCUGGUAGUCCACGCCGUAAACGAUGUGCGCUGGAUGUUGGGGCUCUUAGAGCUUCAGUGUCGUAGCCAACGCGGUAAGCGCACCGCCUGGGGAGUACGGCCGCAAGGUUGAA